AGUAGGGAAUCUUCCGCAAUGGACGAAAGUCUGACGGAGCAACGCCGCGUGAGUGAUGAAGGUUUUCGGAUCGUAAAGCUCUGUUGCCAGGGAAGAACUGUCCGGUAGAGUAACUGCUAUCGGAGUGACGGUACCUGAGAAGAAAGCCCCGGCUAACUACGUGCCAGCAGCCGCGGUAAUACGUAGGGGGCAAGCGUUGUCCGGAAUUAUUGGGCGUAAAGCGCGCGCAGGCGGUCAUUUAAGUCUGGUGUUUAAUCCUGGGGCUCAACCCCGGGUCGCACUGGAAACUGGGUGGCUUGAGUACAGAAGAGGAGAGUGGAAUUCCACGU
This 329-nucleotide ribosomal RNA is filed under the name forest soil bacterium YC05. RNAcentral describes it as "bacterial SSU rRNA". It matches the Rfam family "Bacterial small subunit ribosomal RNA", at positions 353 to 674 of the family's 1533-position model. The record is from RNAcentral. Lineage: Bacteria; Bacillati; Bacillota; Bacilli; Caryophanales; Paenibacillaceae.